AAUAGAUACCCUGGUAGUCCUAGCCGUAAACGAUACUCGCUAGGUGUCGACCACGGUGCGACCGUUGUCGGUGCCGUAGGGAAGCCGUGAAGCGAGCCACCUGGGAAGUACGGCCGCAAGGCUGAAACUUAAAGGAAUUGGCGGGGGAGCACCACAACGGGUGGAGCUUGCGGUUUAAUUGGAUUCAACGCCGGAAAUCUUACCGGGACCGACAGCAACAUGAAGGCCAGGCUGAAGACUUUGCCGGAUUAGCUGAGAGGUGGUGCAUGGCCGUCGUCAGUUCGUACUGUGAAGCAUCCUGUUAAGUCAGGCAACGAGCGAGACCCACGCCCACAGUUGCCAGCGUACUCUCUGGAGUGACGGGUACACUGUGGGGACCGCCGCUGCUAAAGCGGAGGAAGGAAUGGGGCAACGGUAGGUCAGUAUGCCCCGAAUAUCCCGGGCUACACGCGAGCUACAAUGGUUGGUACAAUGGGUAUCUACCCCGAAAGGGGAUGGAAAUCUCCUAAAGCCAAUCUUAGUUCGGAUUGAGGGCUGCAACUCGCCCUC
Molecule: ribosomal RNA, 549 nt
Filed under: uncultured bacterium
Lineage: Bacteria
Description: bacterial SSU rRNA
Rfam family: Archaeal small subunit ribosomal RNA
Source: RNAcentral